This 773-nucleotide ribosomal RNA is filed under the name uncultured bacterium. Its description in RNAcentral is "bacterial SSU rRNA". It matches the Rfam family "Bacterial small subunit ribosomal RNA", at positions 59 to 842 of the family's 1533-position model. The record is from RNAcentral.
CAGUCGAACGGAGUUACGAUGAAACCUAGUGAUUCGUAGCUUAGUGGCGGACGGGUGAGUAACGCGUGGAUAACCUGCCUUGCACUGGGGGAUAACACUUAGAAAUAGGUGCUAAUACCGCAUAAGCGCACGGAGCCGCAUGGCUCAGUGUGAAAAACUCCGGUGGUGUAAGAUGGAUCCGCGUCUGAUUAGCUGGUUGGCGGGGUAGAAGCCCACCAAGGCGACGAUCAGUAGCCGGCCUGAGAGGGUGAACGGCCACAUUGGGACUGAGACACGGCCCAAACUCCUACGGGAGGCAGCAGUGGGGAAUAUUGCACAAUGGGGGAAACCCUGAUGCAGCAACGCCGCGUGAGUGAAGAAGUCAUUCGUGAUGUAAAGCUCUAUCAGCAGGGAAGAAAAUGACGGUACCUGAGUAAGAAGCCCCGGCUAACUACGUGCCAGCAGCCGCGGUAAUACGUAGGGGGCAAGCGUUAUCCGGAUUUACUGGGUGUAAAGGGAGCGUAGACGGCCAGACAAGUCUGAAGUGAAAAUCCAGCGCUUAACGUUGGAAGUGCUUUGGAAACUGCCGGGCUAGAGUGCAGGAGGGGCAGGCGGAAUUCCUAGUGUAGCGGUGAAAUGCGUAGAUAUUAGGAGGAACACCAGUGGCGAAGGCGGCCUGCUGGACUGCAACUGACGUUGAGGCUCGAAGGCGUGGGGAGCAAACAGGAUUAGAUACCCUGGUAGUCCACGCGGUAAACGAUGAUUACUAGGUGUCGGGGGGCUAGAGCCCUUCG